Molecule: ribosomal RNA, 492 nt
Filed under: uncultured bacterium
Lineage: Bacteria
Description: partial 16S ribosomal RNA
Rfam family: Bacterial small subunit ribosomal RNA
Source: RNAcentral
CGAACGCUGGCGGCGUGCUUCACACAUGCAAGUCGAACGGUGAAGCGCCUUCCUUUUUGGUGGGUGUGGAUGAGUGGCGAACGGGUGAGUAACACGUGAGUAACCUGCCCCCUUCUUCUGGAUAACCGCAUGAAAGUGUGGCUAAUACGGGAUAUUCUGGGUCUGUCGCAUGAUGGGUCUGGGAAAGAUAUUGUUUCGGUGGGGGAUGGGCUCGCGGCCUAUCAGCUUGUUGGUGGGGUGAUGGCCUACCAAGGCGGUGACGGGUAGCCGGCCUGAGAGGGUGGACGGUCACACUGGGACUGAGACACGGACCAGACUCCUACGGGAGGCAGCAGUGGGGAAUAUUGCACAAUGGGCGCAAGCCUGAUGCAGCGACGCCGCGUGAGGGAUGGAGGCCUUCGGGUUGUGAACCUCUUUCGCCAGUGAAGCAGGCCUGCCUCGUUUGUGGGUGGGUUGACGGUAGCUGGAGAAGAAGCGCCGGCUAACUACGUG